GCAGCCAUGCCGCGUGUGUGAAGAAGGCCUUCGGGUUGUAAAGCACUUUCAGUCGUGAGGAAGGUGGUGUUGUUAAUAGCUCUAUUAUUUGACGUUAGCGACAGAAGAAGCACCGGCUAACUCCGUGCCAGCAGCCGCGGUAAUACGGAGGGUGCGAGCGUUAAUCGGAAUUACUGGGCGUAAAGCGCAUGCAGGUGGUUUGUUAAGUCAGAUGUGAAAGCCCGGGGCUCAACCUCGGAAUAGCAUUUGAAACUGGCAGACUAGAGUACUGUAGAGGGGGGUAGAAUUUCAGGUGUAGCGGUGAAAUGCGUAGAGAUCUGAAGGAAUACCGGUGGCGAAGGCGGCCCCCUGGACAGAUACUGACACUCAGAUGCGAAAGCGUGGGGAGCAAACAGGAUUAGAUACCCUGGUAGUCCACGCCGUAAACGAUGUCUACUUGGAGGUUAUAGCCUUGAGCCGUGGCUUUCGGAGCUAACGCGUUAAGUAGACCGCCUGGGGAGUACGGUCGCAAGAUUAAAACUCAAAUGAAUUGACGGGGGCCCGCACAAGCGGUGGAGCAUGUGGUUUAAUUCGAUGCAACGCGAAGAACCUUACCUACUCUUGACAUCCAGAGAACUUCCAGAGA
RNAcentral lists this ribosomal RNA (625 nucleotides) under Vibrio sp. RNAcentral's name for it is "bacterial SSU rRNA". It matches the Rfam family "Bacterial small subunit ribosomal RNA", at positions 388 to 1006 of the family's 1533-position model. The record is from RNAcentral. Lineage: Bacteria; Pseudomonadati; Pseudomonadota; Gammaproteobacteria; Vibrionales; Vibrionaceae.